Molecule: ribosomal RNA, 489 nt
Filed under: uncultured bacterium
Lineage: Bacteria
Description: bacterial SSU rRNA
Rfam family: Bacterial small subunit ribosomal RNA
Source: RNAcentral
GACGAACGCUGGCGGCGUGCUUAACACAUGCAAGUCGAACGGUGAACCGGGCUUCGGCCCGGGGAUCAGUGGCGAACGGGUGCGUAACACGUGGGCAACCUGCCCCAGACACUGGGAUAACCCCGGGAAACCGGGGCUAAUACCGGAUACUCCGCUCGGACCGCAUGGUCUGAUCGGGAAAGCUCCGACGGUCUGGGAUGGGCCCGCGGCCUAUCAGCUCGUUGGUGGGGUAACGGCCUACCAAGGCGACGACGGGUAGCUGGUCUGAGAGGUCGACCAGCCACACUGGAACUGAGAUACGGUCCAGACUCCUACGGGAGGCAGCAGUGGGGAAUCUUGCACAAUGGGCGAAAGCCUGAUGCAGCGACGCCGCGUGGGGGACGAAUGCCUUCGGGUUGUAAACCCCUUUCGGCAGGGAAGAAGCGCAAGUGACGGUACCUGCAGAAGAAGCUCCGGCUAACUACGUGCCAGCAGCCGCCGCAGUAAGAC